AGCGGCGGACGGGUGAGUAAAGCUUAGGAAUCUGCCUAUUAGUGGUGGACAACAUUCCGAAAGGGAUGCUAAUACCGCAUACGUCCUACGGGAGAAAGCAGGGGAUCACUUGUGACCUUGCGCUAAUAGAUGAGCCUAAGUCGGAUUAGCUAGUUGGUGGGGUAAAGGCCUACCAAGGCGACGAUCUGUAGCGGGUCUGAGAGGAUGAUCCGCCACACUGGGACUGAGACACGGCCCAGACUCCUACGGGAGGCAGCAGUGGGGAAUAUUGGACAAUGGGGGGAACCCUGAUCCAGCCAUGCCGCGUGUGUGAAGAAGGCCUUUUGGUUGUAAAGCACUUUAAGUGGGGAGGAGGCUUACCUGGUUAAUACCUGGGCUAAGUGGACGUUACCCACAGAAUAAGCACCGGCUAACUCUGUGCCAGCAGCCGCGGUAAUACAGAGGGUGCGAGCGUUAAUCGGAUUUACUGGGCGUAAAGCGCGCGUAGGUGGUUAAUUAAGUCAAAUGUGAAAUCCCCGAGCUUAACUUGGGAAUUGCAUUCGAUACUGGUUAGCUAGAGUAUGGGAGAGGAUGGUAGAAUUCCAGGUGUAGCGGUGAAAUGCGUAGAGAUCUGGAGGAAUACCGAUGGCGAAGGCAGCCAUCUGGCCUAAUACUGACACUGAGGUGCGAAAGCAUGGGGAGCAAACAGGAUUAGAUACCCUGGUAGUCCAUGCCGUAAACGAUGUCUACUAGC
Molecule: ribosomal RNA, 733 nt
Filed under: uncultured bacterium
Lineage: Bacteria
Description: bacterial SSU rRNA
Rfam family: Bacterial small subunit ribosomal RNA
Source: RNAcentral